Molecule: ribosomal RNA, 1301 nt
Filed under: Xenograpsus testudinatus
Lineage: Eukaryota; Metazoa; Arthropoda; Malacostraca; Decapoda; Xenograpsidae
Description: large subunit ribosomal RNA
Rfam family: Archaeal large subunit ribosomal RNA (bases 1065-1224)
Source: RNAcentral
UUAUUACUUGUUAAUUUUUUUGUGAUUAGGAUAUCGAAAGAAAAAUAAUUUUAAUGCUUUAAGAUAAGUAAUGUUUAAUAAAAUUUAUUUUAGACUAUAGAGAAAAGUACUGUAAAGGAAAGUAUUAAAAAUAUUGUAUAGUAAAUUUUAAUAAUUGUAUUUUGUGUAUCAAAGAAAAUUUAUAUUAUUUAAUUAUUAUAAAUAUCUCGAAAUAGAUAUAGUUAAUUUUAUAAAAAUUUUUUGUAUAAAAUAGAUUUUAAAUAUAAAAUUAAAGAUGAAAAGUUAGUCGAGAUCUAUAAUAUCUAGUUUUUUAGGAGAUUAAUUUAAUUAAGAUUUUAUAUAGAUAAAUAGUAUAGAAUUUAAUAGUAGGAGGGAUAAGCUUCUUAUAGUAAAUAAAAAAGAGUUAAGAAAUUAGAAUUAGAUUUUAAUUAGGCUUUAAAGUAGCUAUAUUGAUAAAGUGUUUUAACUAAAUAUAUAAAAUAAUAGAAUUUAUUUUAACUUUUAUUAGUACUAAAAAAUUAAUUUUAAUAUUGAAAAAGUAAAUAUAAUGAUUUUAUUAGUAGAAAUUUAAUAUUAAAUAGUAUUUUGAAAUAUUAUUGUUUAUUUAAUCGUUAUUUUAGUAAAAUAAAGGAACUCGGCAAAUAUUUUCUCUGCUUGUUUAUCAAAAACAUCUCUGUUUGAAGGUAUAAAGAGUAUAACCUGCUCACUGAUAAAAGUUUAAGAGCCGCAGUAUUUUGACUGUGCAAAAGGUAGCAUAAUCGUUUGUUUUUUAAUUGGAAUCUUGUAUGAAUGGUUGGACAAGAGAAAAACUGUCUUUAUAAGAAAAAAUUGAAUUUAACUUUUAGAUGAAAAGGUCUAAAUAAAUUAAAGGGACGAUAAGACCCUAUAAAGCUUAAUAUAAAAAGUUAGUUAAUUAAAUUUUAUUAAAAUAAAAAUGAAUUAAUUUAAUAUAUUUUGUUGGGGCGACAGAGGUAAAAUUAUUAUUAACUACUUAAAUAAGAUUCAAAUAUAAGUGUAAUUUUAAAAGAUCCUAGUUAAAGAUUUAAAGUUUAAGUUACUUUAGGGAUAACAGCGUUAUUUUUUUUGAGAGUACUUAUCGAGAAAAAAGUUUGCGACCUCGAUGUUGAAUUAAAAUAUCUUUAUAAUUGCAGAAGUUAUAAAAGAAGGUCUGUUCGACCUUUAAAUUUUUACAUGAUUUGAGUUCAGACCGGCGUGAGCCAGGUUGGUUUCUAUCUUUUAAUAAGUGUGUAAAUUAUUUUAGUACGAAAGGAUUAAAUAGUUAAAAUUAUUUUUUGAGUGGU